GGGGGAUAUUGCACAAUGGAGGAAACUCUGAUGCAGCAACGCCGCGUGAGGGAAGAAGGUUUUCGGAUUGUAAACCUCUGUCCUCGGUGACGAAACAAAUGACGGUAGCCGAGGAGGAAGCUCCGGCUAACUACGUGCCAGCAGCCGCGGUAAUACGUAGGGAGCAAGCGUUGUCCGGAUUUACUGGGUGUAAAGGGUGCGUAGGCGGCUUUGCAAGUCAGGCGUGAAAACCAUGGGCUUAACCCAUGGACUGCGUUUGAAACUGUGGAGCUUGAGUGAAGUAGAGGUAGGCGGAAUUCCCGGUGUAGCGGUGAAAUGCGUAGAGAUCGGGAGGAACACCAGUGGCGAAGGCGGCCUACUGGGCUUUAACUGACGCUGAAGCACGAAAGCAUGGGUAGCAAAC
This 403-nucleotide ribosomal RNA is filed under the name uncultured bacterium. RNAcentral's name for it is "bacterial SSU rRNA". It matches the Rfam family "Bacterial small subunit ribosomal RNA", at positions 356 to 773 of the family's 1533-position model. The record is from RNAcentral.